UUUUCUUACCUGGACCCUGGCCAGUUCUGUCAGUCCUGAUGUCUCCAUUGCCCAGAGUGACUCUGUCUAUCUGGUUCUGGCCUUGGCACAUUAGAUUUUCUCUUUUUCUCUCUCUGUCCCUCUACUUUCCUCUUGGGUCUCUGACCUCUCUUUAUUUCUCUCUCACUCCCCCUCUAUUCAAUCUUUUCCUCUUUCAUCCCACUCUAUUUUGCUACCCAACUCCUCUUGCACAACCUUCGUUUUCCCUCUCUGAACUUUUGCAGCACUCCCAGAGGUGCUGUAGCUGAACAGCCAUAUCAGACACUCUCAGACAUAUGGAGGAAUGCUGCGCCCCAAAGCUGGGUGACUUCACCUCAACAGCAAAGUUCCAAUGAUGCAUAACUGACUGAGACGUCAUGGGGUUAAGGUUGACCGUUGAUUGGCAAUUUGACUGACUGAAAUACAACAGUGAGAAGAAAUGAGUUUUGAUCGUGCCUCCAUUCGAUGCUUCGCUGUCCGCAAUUUUUGCCAGGGGAAGCAACAAACAGAUUCACCAAGGCCAGGCAACCGGCCCAACAUAUAAACUGGAUAAACAAUGUCUCCAGGGGUAACCGAGAGGAGCAGAGGAGGCAGGGAAGUGCUGUGUUUGUUCUCUGAUUGAUGCCAUACAUAGUGCAUGAGUUCCCUAUGGGUAGAAGUUCUAUACAAGAAAGUUCAGAUAAAAAAAGAGAUGUGCUAUUGAGAUGAGGUUGAAUAAAGGUAAAAUAUCAGAAGCACUGAGUCAGAAAGAGGCAGAGACAGAGAGAGUUUCUCAUCUCAGAUAAUAAAAAUGUGAUGUUAGCUUAGAUCGAUCAGCAGGUUCAGCCAAGCAAAGGCCAGGGACAUGCCUGCUUUAAGUAGGAAAAUAAAGAGUGAAAACCAAAACAUUUUAGAUUAUACCAUCAUAUCCUUCCACAGAGGUUUGAUUCCCUCCAAUAAACACCUAUAAACCCUGGCUAUUGCAGAGCUCUCAGAGAAAAUUAAAAGACAAAAAUGCCUUCAUAAAUAUUAAUCUCUGUAAGGCAGAGGUUGUGCCCUUCACAAUUAUUCAUGCUCUCUGGAGCGCAUUUGUCAAGAGUAAACAGUAUCCUCCUGUUUACCUAAUGCAGAACAUUCGGUAGGUGAGUGGGCAUAAUUGAUGCCUUCAUAUUCUAUUCUUGAGGAUGUAAUUAAACACAGUCUGGCAUGGAACACAUUUAUCUCUUUCUUUCUUUCUUUCCUCUUCCUUCCUUCCCUCCACUCACACACACAUCCACAAAAACGUGCAGAAUACAUUUCCUCACAGGUGCACUCUCAUCUGUUUCUUCAACAGCGGUGCCUUGGUUCACACAAAAUUAAAGGUGGAAAGCGAGUUAAUUUCACAGCAUUUGGCAUAUUAUCAACACUGUGGGGCCUGCAAGGGUACUGUAGACGGCCCCUGCCUCUGUGGCUUUGUUUUUUUUUGUGGGGUGAGUAGGAGGGGUUAUAUAUUAUUAGCUGCUUGCUUAAGUGUGACGGAAUCAUUAGUGGGCAGAAAAUAAGCCAAUAAUACUUUUCUCUAUGCUUUUAUGUGCUGUUAUUGUCAAUGAAGUAUGGAUUACAAUUGUCUGGCCAACACGUCUUUUGUUUUCAUUCACAUAUAUUGCACACUAGGGAAUAUGAGGAUAAUAUGGAUAAAACCUUUUAUCGGUGAACGUAUAGAAUAGAAUAGAAUGCCUUUACUGUCAUUGCAUGACAGCACAAUGAAGCUGAUCAGUGCUAAUAGAUUAGAACAACCUCAGAUAUACAUUGUACAUUCACUCAUCCAUUCCUGCAUACAUACACCUAAAUGCACAUGUUCAUAUGUAUGUACAUUUGUGUAUAUAUAUAUGUAUAAUUGAUAUUAAUACAGUAUUGUGGUAUAUAGGAAAUUCAAUUCAUUUACAGCUAAAUCAGCCAGAUGGGAAUGUCUGUUCUUGGAUAUUCUAGCACAUGAACUAACUUCAUCCAAUAUUGUCAUAAAGCAGUCCCACUCAUUGACUUGUAACACUGUCAGUUAUUGCCUAACACAACCAGGGAAUUAUUUACGCCCAGUACCAACACUCAGUAGCAGAAAGGAAGUAGCCUGAUAAUGAAACUGAACUGCCAUUUUACUUCACUUCAUUAUUCAGUCUCACAUCCCGUUCAUGAUAGCCAUUUUCUGUUUGUGAAGGGUCUUUAUUGUGCCCUAACCAAUCACUAGUUUCAUAAGAGAGACUUUAUUUAUAGUAAAUGGUUAUAUAGUUAGCUUUGGUGGAAAAGGCUCUUCUCUUUGAGGGAACUUUCAAAGAAUUCGAGCAACAAUGAGAAUUCUGCUGGGAACAGUAUUCAUCUUGAUAAAUAUGUACACAAACACUAAGCUUUAGUUAGAUCAAUAAUACCAAAAAGAAGGGAGCUGCAGCAGCAAACAGCAUUGGCACAAGCACAUCAGCAUAGUGACAGUGAUACACCUGGCUGUGCUGUAAACCUGCACAAAUAUGAUUGGAUGUGACUGGUCAGCUGAUAGCCACACAGCUUAGCCAGUGUGUGAAGUAUGAAUGAAAUAGCUGAUGCCAAACAGCUAAUACAAGUGGGACUUCAGUGCUCUGUCUGAGCUAACGCUGUGCUCCAUUGAGUGACAUUUCUGUCCCACCAUCAUUAUUUUCAUUCAUCACGGGGGCUGCGGUAGCUGCUGCUAGAAGCAGUUAUGUUUUAUGCAUUGAUUAAAGAUGCAUGCUGAUUUAGGAGUUGUUAUUUCUGCAGUUUGUAAGGAUGGGUGUGUAGCAAAUCUAACUUUCAUGUUGGAGACCUGAGUAUACAUCUAUUCACAAACCUAGAUGAUAAAAACUUUUUUUAAAAACAGUACUGCACCAUAUGGUCUUUUUAUUCCCCCUUCCUUGUCAAGACCUGGUGCCUAUAUUACCCACAAUGCAACUCAACCGCCAACAGUACAUUCAGAGAUUCAGGUGUGUUAUGCUAGUGGCGGUUAAUGUAGCUUCCAGUCGCUAGUGUUAAGCAAAGAUAAUGAGCGGGCUACAGAGGUCUGGAAUCGAAGGCUAAGCUUUGCUCUGGUGGCAGGACUCUGGGGCGCAGCUGAUCUGCCUGUAGAUCUUACUCCCUGCACAGGUACACAAUCAUACAGCGAGAGGGAGAGCAAGCUCCAUCUGUGGAAUACUGAUGCAGGAGCAGGGCAUCUACAAGACAAGCGGCUCGACGAACAUGGAGGCCAGGGGAUGAAUUUUUAAAGAUACAGUCUACAAGACUUAGCAAUGUUCUUGGAGGAAUCAGAAGAAUAGCAAGAAUACAAGGGGGUGGUAUGAGUUUGUCAGAGGCUGCACAAGAAGAGGUUAAAGGGAAAAUGCAUUGAGAAUGACCUUAAGGUUGUUGUUUACAAAAGUUCGAUUUUCCUAAUAGAAAAAUCUGUUGCAACUCAAAAUAAAGUUUGGUGAAGAAAAUUCUGUGACAUUGAAAUAUAUUUCCUUACCACAGAUGAAGAACAAUUCUGUAGACACUUUUAUCCACACUAGCAGCAUUUCUCUAGGGGUGGAAAUGUCUGUCUGUUGGUCCACCACUUUGAAUUCUGACUCUACUGAUCCUCUUAUUUUUCAUCUAGCACCAUCAGUAGGUCGAUAUUUUCACUUAGCCUGUGAAAUAUCUCAACUUUCUACACGAUGGACUGCCAUGAAAUUUUGUACAGACAUUUUAAUCGUCCCCAGUAGAUGAAUCCUACAGAUCUUGGUGAACCCCUGACCUUUCCUCUAGCGCCGCCAUGCGGUUGACAUUUGGAGUUUUGAGUGAAAUCUCAACAACUAUUGGAUUGAUUACCAUUAAAAUUGUUACAACAUUCAUGUCCCCCUCAAGAUAAAUUUAAUAACUUUGUGAUCCCCUGUCCAAUAAUUUGCUUUUAUGACUUAAUACUUGCAAAAAGAAUGACAUUCCCCUCAGCUGUACUUUGUGUUUAUUGGUAAUGUAAAUGUUUGCAUGUUAACACACUAAACCACGAUUUUGAAUGCGAUAAACAGAGCUGCUAGCUUGUCUGUCAACUCCUAGUCUUGUUGUGUCUAGAAAUGAAAAAAAUAAUGCAGAAACCAAAACUAAUACAACAAAACAAGAUGUUCUUUUAUACAUUGCUUCAGGAAAAGAGAUGCCUUUUUUAAUUUUGGUUUUGUGCAUUCCCUUUCAAAUCCAUCUAUAUGGAGGUAGCAUUAGUAUUAAGGAUUGUAGGAAGAUUUGCGGCCGGAAAGAAGCCAGUUCAGAUCAAGACCAUCUGGUAGCCUGAGAAGAGAAUGAGAAACGCUCUCUCAUCUCUCUACAGCUGACAUUAAUAAGCCCCAUUUGCUCCUGAGGAGCUGUUCAGAGGCCAAAAGAAGAAGCCUGGUUGUACUGAGCAGCUCCAAAAAUUGAACACUGCAAGUGAGAAUCAGAGUGCCGCAGGGGGAAAAAAGCAAGUUACACUGGAAAGCCUUCCUUGAGUAAAUAAACAUAAAAAAAAAAAUACUGUAGUUAAUUUUUGCUUGUAUUGCUCCACUAGGAUUCCUCCAAGAGUCUGUUUAUGUCUCCUGUUUAGGUUGUUGGAAUAGUUCAUGCAGACUAUAGAAUAGUCAAAACACUGCAAGCCAUUUUAGGUGAAUUACAGUAUUAUUCUCAUCUAAUAGCUGGCUUAAAACGCUAAUCACGCAUGCUAAUUCCUGGCUUAGUGUGCCUACGGAUUAGAAGCCCAUGUAAUGUACAGUUAAUCCCAUAUACACUGCACUGAAAAUCCGCCUAGAAGCGUUUCUCAUCAUCAAAAAUUUUCCCUCUAAUUAUGUCUCUAGAGAGAAGCUCAACUCCCACUUGAGAUGAGUUUGUCCAUGUAGUAUUCCAGGUUCACAUGCAUGUAGAAUACAGAACACAUGCCCUUGAUCAAGCUCUCAGCUAUUGCAUUACUGUGUAUCCUGACCCAUAGAUUGGAAUUGAUGGACACUCUAUUACACAUUAUGCAGCUGGUAAUAGAAUUGAAUCCACCAUAAGGCAGAAAAUUUCUA
Molecule: long non-coding RNA, 5018 nt
Organism: Thunnus maccoyii (southern bluefin tuna)
Lineage: Eukaryota; Metazoa; Chordata; Actinopteri; Scombriformes; Scombridae
Exons: 3
Source: RefSeq, a predicted model, not a curated record